RNAcentral lists this ribosomal RNA (467 nucleotides) under uncultured bacterium. RNAcentral's name for it is "partial 16S ribosomal RNA". It matches the Rfam family "Bacterial small subunit ribosomal RNA", at positions 28 to 507 of the family's 1533-position model. The record is from RNAcentral.
GAUGAACGCUGGCGGCGCGCCUAACACAUGCAAGUCGGACGAUUAAAGCACCUUCGGGUGUGUAUAAAGUGGCGAACGGCUGAGUAACACGUGGGCAACCUGCCCCUCUCAUUGGGAUAGCCACGGGAAACCGUGGAUAAUACCGAAUACUUCGGGACUUCCGCAUGGAAGACUCGAGAAAGCUCCGGCGGAGAGGGAUGGGCCCGCGGCCUGUUAGCUUGUUGGUGGGGUAAUGGCCUACCAAGGCAAUGAUGGGUAGCUGGGUUGAGAGACCGACCAGCCAGAUUGGGACUGAGACACGGCCCAGACUCCUACGGGAGGCAGCAGUGGGGAAUCUUGCACAAUGGGCGAAAGCCUGAUGCAGCGACGCCGCGUGCGGGAUGGAGGCCUUCGGGUUGUAAACCGCUUUCAGCAGGGACGAGGCGAAAGUGACGGUACCUGCAGAAGAAGCCCCGGCUAACUACGUG